AUGAGAAAACUGAGUGUGGUAACAGAAGGGGCCACCAAGCAAAAAUGCAAGGUACUGUGUGAUGCCAUUCAGAAGCUCUCUUCCCUCCGCUCCCUUUCAGUGGAUGGUUCACUCGAGUGGCUGCAUGAUGUUUCCUCUCCUCCUCCCCUGUUGAGGAGUCUGAACUUGAAUGGAUGCCUUGGAGAUAUUCCUGGCUGGUUUGGCAAUCUAAUGCAUUUGGUUAAGCUUUCCUUAGGGGGCAGCGUAAUAAAGGAAGAAGGCAAACUCAUGAAAAUACUUGGGCCACUACCCAACCUCAUGGACCUUUUUCUUGGAAGACACUCUUAUAUUGGGGAGAAGUUGGUGUUCAAAACGGGAGCAUUCCCAAAUCUCAAGAAACUUGGUAUUUGUGAGCUGGUGGAACUGAGAGAGUUGAAAUUUGAGGACGGCACCUCACCCCAGCUGUCAAUGAUUGAUAUCAGUUGGUGCAAUUUGGCAUCAGGAAUUAUUGGAGUCAACCAGCUUCCAAAGCUUAAGGAGAUCGCACUUGGGUACGGUGGUCGAGUGGCCAAGUUUGCUUUGCUGCAAAGUGAAGUGGGUGCACAUACCAACAGUCAUGUGCUGCGACUGUCCUAG
This 615-nucleotide ribosomal RNA is filed under the name Triticum aestivum (bread wheat). RNAcentral describes it as "partial small subunit ribosomal RNA". Lineage: Eukaryota; Viridiplantae; Streptophyta; Magnoliopsida; Poales; Poaceae. The record is from RNAcentral.